GGGGGGGGGGCUAGCGUUAUUCGGAAUUAUUGGGCGUAAAGGGCGUGUAGGCGGCUUCGCCAGUCCCAUGUGAAAGCCCUCGGGCUCAACCGGGGGAACUGCAUGGGAAACUGCGGAGCUUGAGUCCGGGAGAGGAGAGUGGAAUUCCCAGUGUAGCGGUGAAAUGCGUAGAUAUUGGGAGGAACACCAGUGGCGAAGGCGGCUCUCUGGACCGGUACUGACGCUGAAGCGCGAAAGCCAGGGGAGCAAACGGGAUUAGAUACCCCGGUAGUCCUGGCUGUAAACGAUGAGCACUUGGUGUGGCGGGUAUCGACCCCUGCCGUGCCGAAGCUAACGCAUUAAGUGCUCCGCCUGGGGAGUACGGCCGCAAGGCUG
Molecule: ribosomal RNA, 375 nt
Filed under: uncultured organism
Description: partial 16S ribosomal RNA
Rfam family: Bacterial small subunit ribosomal RNA
Source: RNAcentral